AAGCAACUUUCCAAUACAGUUCUCCAUCAUACAAGAAACUUAACAUCAUCAUCAUACACUGAGUAUACCAAACAUUAGGAACAACCCCACCCCCCCUUAGCCCUCAGAAUAGCCUCAGCUCAUCAGGGCAUGGACACUACAAGAUGUCAAAAGAAUUCCACAAGGAUGCUGGCCCAUGUUGACUCCAAUGCUUCCCACAGUUGUGUCAAGUUGGCUGGAUGUCCUUUGAGUGGUGCACCAUUUCUGAUACACACAGAAACAGUUGAGUGUGAAAAACCCUGCAACGUUGCAGUUCUUGACCCAAACCGUUGCGCUUGGCACCUACUACCAUACCCCGUUCAAAGGCACUUGAAUCUUUUGUCUUGCCCAUUCACCCUCUAAACAGCACACAAACACAAUCCAUGUCUCAAUUGUCUCAAGGAUUAAUAAUCCUUCUUUAACCUGUCUCCUCCCCUUCAUCUACACUGAUUGGAGUGGAGUUAACAAGAGACAUCAAUAAGGAAAAAGAGCAGGUGUUCUUAAUGUUUUGUACAGUCAGUGUAGUCUGAACAUCUUAAACCACCCUGAAUGAAUCAAAUAUAUAGCAAGUCUUACCUGUAGCAAAGACAACCAUAAUCCAUAGCUCCUUAAUCUCUGCUGUUUCCAGUCAUCCAGUGUCAGCAGACUGCACAUUAUUAGACCGUCUGUGGGUCUUAUGCUGCGCUCCACCUAUUACAGAGUCCGCAGUGACGUACAGGUACCAGUUAAUGAUUUAGUGUUGAAUUUAAGGGGAAAGUACUGUACAUUGGCUCCAACACAAUCAACAGGAUCAGUAAAGGCAAUGACACAAAUUCUUUGAAAAUAGAUCAGACAUUACUGGAUGAAUAAAUUAGACAUGGAUGGAUACUGGGAGGAUCAGUCAACCAAUAGAGUUACCCUUCUCUAUGCAAAACCUUAGUUGCAGCUGGGAAGGUACAGCACAUGUUUUGGUAAACAGACCUUUUUUGAACUAGAGCAUGUGUAAAAAACAAUGAUGGAACUGUCUUGGAGGUCUGGAUUAGAAUUUGAGGACACUAGAGGGUGUACUAGUGAGUUUCCCAAACUGGGUGGGUGUAGAAAAUUCCACAUAAGGCCCCCAAAAAGGCUAGGGCUGGCUCACUGCAUGUGUGGGAGCCACUACCCUCCUGAUGAGUUCUGAUUUUUUUGUGUGUUCCCCACUCCCAUCAAAGUUGUCCAUCACUGUUCUAGUUUGAAUUUCUACCAUAUUUAUUAUUCCAGUCAUUUCCAUUCAAAUCAGUGAACACUUGUGCUAACUUGUGGAGGAAGGAGAGAUAAUUGGAACAUAUGUCUAAGACUGGAGGUACAGUAACUAGCGUACUAUCCGUUGGGGGACAGAUUAUGGCAGCCAGCUCCAUAGGUCAGGAUGAGAUAUAAGAGGAUGGGUUUCUAAAGGCAGCAGGACAGGUCAACAUUAAACCCUGGAGUCUCAGAUAGACAACUCAAGUCUUAAUCUGUCCACAGGCUCCAGAGCCAGGAGAUGAGAUAAUGGAGGUGAGGGUUUACCAGGUAGAUGACAGGACAGCCUAUUGGCCCUAAUGGAGGUGAGGGUUUACCAGGUAGAUGACAGGACAGCCUAUUGGCCCUAAUGAAGGUUAGAGGGUUUACCAGGUAGAUGACAGGACAGCCUAUUGGCCCUAAUGGAGGUGAGGGUUUACCAGGUAGAUGACAGGACAGCCUAUUGAUCCUAAUGGAGGUUAGAGGGUUUACCAGGUAGAUGACAGGACAGCCUAUUGGCCCUAAUGAAGGUGAGGGUUUACCAGGUAGAUGACAGGACAGCCUAUUGGCCCUAAUGAAGGUUAGAGGGUUUACCAGGUAGAUGACAGGACAGCCUAUUGGCCCUAAUGAAGGUGAGGGUUUACCAGGUAGAUGACAGGACAGCCUAUUGGCCCUAAUGAAGGUGAGGGUUUACCAGGUAGAUGACAGGACAGCCUAUUGGCCCUAAUGAAGGCUCAAAGGCUGAACUCCUCAUUGCUAAAAAAAAAAAAAAAAAAACACUUUAUUGAACUGUCACUUUAUUCCCUUUAACAGUGGGCAAAAUGUAUAGCAGUUCUCUAAGAAUGUACCCCUAAAUGAACCUUAUGAAACAAAUGAACCUUGAAUUAUUGAAAUUAGCAUACAUAAGUGACAGUGAAUAUGCUCAGUGUUUUCAUAAACAUCUCUAUUUAUAUGCACAAUAAUGAGGAAGACUGGUGAACAGUUUGGAUGGAACGUUCCACUGCCAUAAUAAAUCCUCAUUUAGAGGAAGAGUUUGGCGCCACCACAUGGCAGUUGAAGGUAGACACAGAGGCUGCUUCAAAAUCAAAUAAAAUUGUACUUGACACAUGCUUCUAAUCAGCAGGUGUAGACUAUCAGCAGCGGUGCCUGGGUAAAAUCACUGGUGAAGCCAAACCCCCCCCCAACAAAAAAAGGCCAUAUUACAACCUGUGUUGUGGUAAUUGUGCUAUAACCCAAUUCAUAUGCUUUGCGACCGUGAUAUAUAGGUCUAAAGGCCGAGACAAUAAGAAGACAAAGUGGCAGAAUAAAUUCAACCACACCUUUGUUUUAUCACAAAACCAGAUUGCUCUGUCCAAUGAAGUCCACAAAGCAUAUUGCGUGUACAGUAACAGGCAGUUACAUGACCUACGGCAUUAUCAAGCAAGUUAAUGUUCCAACAUUUUAUGACCAAUAAACAACUAUUGAAUUAGAACCAGUGUUAUCGCAAAUCGCAAAGAAAACGGGAGCUGCCUCCACUAUUCCAGCACCAUUUCAACUUCAACAUUUGAUCAUUGAAUCACCUCUGCUUUGUCUAAUACAGUCACAACAAAAAGAUACCAAAACAAUUUAGUCCAAUCAAUGUAAGCUAAAUAUGAUGUGGCUGUCCUGGUUUGAUUUCUGUGUGCAAGUAGAAAAACAUGUUGACUCACCCUACUUGUAGAAAAACGCCAAUGCCAUCCUCCUCUUUCAUGUUGAGGACACGGUCUUAUCACUCGGUCAUACAGCAGUCCACGCUUUUAUUUGUUUGUUGUCCUAGGCUACCUGGCUAAAAUGCUUGUUCGCUAGCCUAACUUCAAUUCGAGGCAACAUUAGCCUUCUAACGUUACAUCUAACGUUACUGUAGCUACAUAUUGAACUUCCAUCCUCUCAGGCCAGUGGCACAACAAUGUAUGAAUUAAUGGUUGGAUCAGAAUCACCAUUACGGAGGAUAAAUAAAACAACAAGUCCAAAUCCCUAUCUCCAUCCAUGGAUAAUUUAGGAAAGGGCCACCGGGGGACAACAACACAACGAAAUGCAAAAAUGCAAGUUUAUCUGUCAAUGACGUAUGCUGUCAAUGGCGGAGUGAAGGAGUGACGCCAAAAUCCAAGCUUGCUUUCCGUGACACUUGUUUUUGGUGAGCCAGUAUGGAGCCAGAUAGCAUCGUUAGGAUAGUAAGAAAAUCCAUAUGUAAAUUGUUAGGCUCAUAAGAAAUGUGUGAAACGUAAACAUGACAUUUCAUCUGUGAACAUAUGAACACCACGUUACGAUUAGACUAACAUUUUAGGCUUGAACAAAUCUGACAUAUAAUCGUACCUUUCAGAGUUUUGUCAGUUUCAUCUGAAUUUAUGAAAUUGCUUCUUCCAAUUAUUGAUAAACAUCCACUUGUUAAGAAACGAACUGUUAGAACUGUUAAGGCUCCAUGGAUUGAUGAGGAAGUGAAAAACUGUAUGGCUGAAAGAGAUGGGGCAAAAGAAGUGGCUAAUAAGUCUGGCUGUACAUCUGACUGGCUGAUUUACUGCAAAUUGAGAAAUUAUGAGACUAAACUCAACAAAAAGAAGAAUAAACUUUAUUAUGAAGCCAAAAUCAAUGAUAUAAAGAAAUGUGGAGUACUUUAAAUUAAAUGGGCAGAAAAACAAAUUCAUCUCCAUCUUUCAUUGAAUCCGAUGGCUUAUUCAUCACAAAACUAUUUGAUGUUGCCAAUUAUUUUAAUGAUUAUUUCAUUGGCAAAGUGGGCAAACUUAGGCAGGAAAUGCCCACGACAAACAGUGAGCAAUUAUAUUCAUGCAUAAAAAACGAAUAAUGAAAUAAAAGCAGUGCAAGUUUGAAUUUUGUAAAGUCAGUGUGGGAGAGGUGGAAAAAGUAUUGUUAAUGGCCAAUAAACUCCUGGUUCAUCAGCAACCACAGCUAAUGAAGUCACUGAAACCAUUAACAAAGAGUUGCAGUCUGUUUUGGAAUGGGUGGCCUGUUAUAAACUGGUCCUGAACAUCUCUAAAAAUAAGAGCAUUGUAUUUGGUACAAACUAUUCCUUAAGUGCUAGACCUCAGCCGAAUCUGGUAAUGAAUGGUGUGGCUGUUGAACAAGUUGAGGAUACUAAAUUACUUGGCGUUACCUUAGAUUGUAAACUGUCAUGGUCAAAACAUAUAGAUUCAAUGGUUACAAAUAUGGGGAGAGGUCUGUAAUAAAGAGAUGCUCUGCUUUUUUGACACCACACUCCAAAAAGCAAGUUCUGCAGGAUCUAGUUUUGUCUAAUCUUGAUUAUUGUUCAGUUGUGUGGUCCAGCACGGCAAGGAAAGGCCUAGUUAAGCUUUAGCUGGCCCAGAACAGAGCGGCACGUGUUGCUCUUAAUUGUAAUCAGAGGGCUAUAUAAAUAUAGAUACUAUGCGUGCCAGUCUCUCUUGGCUAUGACUUGAGGAGAGAUUGUCUGCAUUGCUUCUUCUUUUUUAUAAGAAACAUUAAUGUGUUGAAAAUCCCAAAUUGUUUGCAUUGUCAAUUUACACACAGCUCUGACACACACACUUAUCACACCAGACAUACCACCAUGGGUCUUUUCAUAAUCCCCAAAUCCAGAACAAAUUCAAAACAUACAGUAUUAUAUAGAGCCCUUAUUGCAUGGAACUUCCUUCCAUCUCAUAUUGAUCAAAUAAACAGCAAACCUGGUUUCAAAAAACAGAAAGCAACACCUCUCCCCUAUUGGACCUAGAUAGUUUGUGCGCAUGCAUUGAUAUGUAGGCUACGUGUGCCUUUCUAAAAAUGUAUGUAGUUCUGUCCUUGAGCUGUUCUUGUAUGAUGAUGUUCUGUAUUAUGUUUCAUGUUUUGUGUUGAACCCCAGGAAGAGUAGCUGUUGCUUUUGCAACAGCUAAUGGGGAUCCUAAUAAAAUAAAACCAACAAAAAAUGUUAAGCCUGUGAGGAGCGCUACGUGAACAAGCAUAACACAGUAAAAAAAAAAACAGAAGUCAGGGAAACCAGAAAGAGGUAUUUUGCACAUGUUCAAGUCUCAUUCUCCCACCGGAGUAGCAAUAUGUGUGAGAAGAGCAAUCUGUGUGAGAAGAGCGACAUGGUGCUGGUCCGCCUAAUUAUCAUGUAAGGAUUGUGUUGUCCAAUUCAACUGAGGAGUAAUAAUUACUUCACAUUUUGGUAGCUAAUGUAAAUCUAGAUAGCACUAGCUAGCUAAUGACACGAAGCUAGCUAACUAACUAGCUUACACAGUCAAUCUCUGCUCAUGGCAUAUGAUAUGGCCUAGCUAGUUAGCUCAUGUCACUGACAAAAAAUACACUUUGUUGUGCAAGGAGUAAGCCUGUGUCAAGCUAGCCACUGUUUAACUACCAAAUACCGUUAUGGUUAUUGGUAGCAAGCAAGGAGGAGAACCUUUCCUGUCCACAAGGUUGCCCUAGUCAAGGACUCACAUCCAGUACCUAGAUAUAGUAAUAAGUUAUUGAUUGUCGUUAUUCGUUUUUCUAUUGAGUUAUCAAAGAGUAACUAAGUUAGCUCGCUAACGUGCUGACCAGACCGCUCGCAUGUUGAUUUUGUCCACCCACACCAGACGUGAUCAGGACAGGCAGGUUGAAAUAUCAAAACAAACUCUGAACCAACUAUAUUAGUUUGGGGUCAGGUCGAAAAGCAUUAAACAUGUAUGCCAAUUUAGCUAGCUAAUUUGCCCUGGGAUAUAAACAUUGGGUUGUUAUUUUACCUAAAAUGCACAAAAUUCUCUUCUCCGACAAUUAAUUCACAGAUAAAAGUUUGUUUCUGGUAAUCUCUCCUCUCAACCAAGCAUUACCACUACCGACUGGAAUGUGAACCUCAGUUCAUCUUUCAAUCACCCAUGUGGGCAUAUGCUCCUAAAAACCAAUGUGGAGAUGGCGCAUGGGUGUAUGCUCCUAAACCAAUGAGGCAAUGGGAGAGGCGGGACUUGCAGCAAAUCAAGCAUCACAAAUAGAACCAAGUUCUAUUUUAGCGCCUGGUUAUACAGACGCUCGUUGACGCGUGCGAGCAGUUUGGAUGCAAUGAUUGAAUAACAUGUAUGUGUAUGUAUUUUGCAACGCUCGCGCAGCAUGUCAGUUGCUUUGCAGCUUCCAGUUUAAUUUCCAAAAUAAAAGUCUAGAGGUUGUUUUAGAACUGAAUUAGGUAACGACUUUAUACCAGUAGAUGGCGUAGUAUAGGCUUGGGCUUUCAGCAAAUGACUUGUGUGAGAAUAAUACUAUAAAGACACAGAAGAGUCUUGUCUAGAAUAACCACCUGAGCGGCAAAAUAGAAAGUAAAUAUGAUUUAGACUAGGCCUAUUCUGCUCACUAAAUAUGCAAUGCUGUUGUGUUAUUUAAUGGCCAUAUAACUACAUAAUUUAUUUGUAUAGCUGCUUGAGACUACUGUGGUGAUCAACCAAAAGGUUGCGAGAUCAAAUCCCUGAGCUGAGAAGGUAAGAAUCUGUCAUUCUGCCCCUAAACAAGGCAAUGUUCUAGGCCAUCAUUGAAAAUAAGAAUUUGUUCUUAACUUACUUGUCUAGUUAAAUAAAAAAAUGUAAUUUUUUUCCCCAGUAUUUGGGAGCAUGGACAGUAGGCCUUGUAUUAGGCAUUUUGACUGUUGUAUUUGUAAGUUCCACUCUGUAUGUAGGCUUGUACACAACCCCAUUAUGCAGAGGCUAUAUCCAUAUCAAUGAAUGAGACAAAAAAAAUAUUGAUUAAGUCUUGGCUAUAACCUGUCUUGAGUGAAAUAGUCUUGACCAUUUGGGAUCCCUUGGCUAUCUAUAGCCUGUUCUUAUUGGCAGAUCUGUUUUCCUUAUCAGCCACUGCAUGUGCUUCUUCAACUAUUUUGGAAAUGUUUUAUUUAGAAACUUUUUCUAGAGGGCUGUGAGGGGAGGCCUAUUAUUAAAACAGUUAUAAAACACAGAGUUCUAAAAUUAUUCCGCAAAACAACAGUACCCAAAAUGAUAGCCUAAAUUGCAAUGCCUACAAGUUGAAGGCCUAUUUUUUUCAGAAAUAUAGGCCUAAAUUAAACAUUGAAUUAUUAAAGUGAUAGGCUAAAGAACUUUGAAGAAUACAUUAUUUCAAUAAACAAAUGGAUGACUGUUCUAUUCUCAUCAAUUUAGUUCCUAUUGCAACUCAGACAAAUGACAUAAUUGAUGACAUACUGAUUGACUGAACUGAAUGAAGGAUUAAUUAAAUGUUCAAAAUGUUGGAAUGAUGAGUUGUGCGCAUCAUGCAUGCUCCACACUUUAUUUGGCUAGUAGGCAAAUCAAAUUGUAUUAGUCACGUGACGAAUACAACAGGUGUACAAUGCAGUUAAAAAAAUACGGAUAAGAAUAAGAAAUUUAACUUGUGUGUAUGAGGUAAUAGUGGUGGAAUUGUUAGGUUAGAUUACUCGUUGGUUAUUGCUGCAUUGUCGGAACUAGAAGCACAAGCAUUUCGCUACACUCGCAUUAACAUCUGCUAACCAUGUGUAUGUGACACAUACAUUUUUAUUUGAUUUGAUGUUGGAUGAGGCGGGUUGCAGGAAGGUAUAUUUAAUUUGAAAAUGGAAAAAGAGAUUUAAAUACAGAAAAUAUUUAGACGGGACAAAGACAAACACGUCUUGCUUGGAUUGGAAAUCAUCUAAUUGAUUGGCUGCAAGUUCAACCUGUCAAUAUAGCUCAUAGACCGAGAGCAUGGUUGCAUCACUGUCUGGUACGGCAACUGCUCGGCCUCCGACCGCAAGGCACUACAAAGGGCAGUGCAAAUGGCCCAGUACAUCACUGGGGCCAAGCUUCCUGCCAUCCAGGGCCUCUAUAGCAGGCAGUGUCAGAGGAAGGCCCUAAAAAUUAAUUAUAAAAGACUCCAGCCACCCUAGUCAUGGACUGUUCUCUCUGCUACCGCACGACAAGCGGUACCGGAGCGUCAAGUCUAAGUCCCCUCAUGUGCCUGACAUGCCUCCUCUACACUGUCUAAAGCUAUUUUCUGAGACAUUGUGUAAAAUGAAAUCAAAUUUAUUUCACUAAGAACACAAACAUUUUAAUUCUCACUAAGAAUACUGAAACAAGAGAAUAAUCAGAUUUAUCCAAAACAGUCAACAUUCAUAAAGAACAUAGGUACAUAAAGUAUUUACAAACAUGUGCAUGGUCAAAACAUUUUUGGACAAUAACACUUUUGAUAGAUAUAAAUGGUGUGCGUAUAACUAUAGGCAAUAAUGGAGGUCUAUGAGAUAUUGACAGGUUGAACUUGCAGCCAAUCAAUUAGAUGAUUUCCAAUCCAAGAUGGCGUAGCAGCAAGACGUCUUUGUCCCGUGUAAAUAUUUUCUGUAUUUCAAUCUCUUUUUCCAUUUUCAAAUGAAAUAUACCUUCCUGCAACCCACCUCACCCAACAUGGUACGGAUCUGCUAUUUUUUUUUAGACCUUGUAACUGGAACCUCAAUCGGAAGCUAGCCUUCAGAACCUGGCCAGCUAAUUAGCUACUAGUUAUUUAGUCAUUGUUAGCCACUGCUAGCAGUCUUUACCUUUAGCACAGACACCAGCCACUUUAACCCGGAUAAUAUCUGCCAGUGGCACAAACUUCGUCAGGGAAAUGACCUGACCAAGGUGCAGCGUUGUGAGCGUACAUUUUCUUUAUUAAGAGGCAGCUCAACUGAGCAGUUGACAACCAAAUUAAAUUAAACAUAUGCAUUUUAUUUACCAUAUUUUAUCAUGCCAUUUAUUACAAUUAUCAUGUGGUUCUCAUUAUUGGACUGCUAUUUUUUUUACACAAACAUUCAUAGAUGUGCAGGUGAGCGAAGACAUGAACGUGAGCAAAUCCUAUCCUGAUUGAUCACACUUUUUCAGUACUACUUGUGUUUAAAACAGGAUAUGACAUCACAGUACAAUGUUGCUGACCUCAAGCAUAAUUUUGGUAUCAUGAAAUUACUGAUAUGUUGUUAUUUAUUAAUUUGAGGAACUCUUGAAAAAUAUAGCUCUACCUGGCAGUUGAGAUGCCCAUUAAAGGAAUGCUAUUUAGACAAAGCUAGCUAUUAUGGACAAUGAAGAAAUAUU
Oncorhynchus tshawytscha (Chinook salmon) is the source of this 9260-nucleotide long non-coding RNA. The record is from Ensembl. NCBI's taxonomy places the organism in Eukaryota, Metazoa, Chordata, Actinopteri, Salmoniformes, Salmonidae.